CGUCCAGACUCCUACGGGAGGCAGCAGUAGGGAAUCUUUCACAAUGGGCGAAAGCCUGAUGGAGCAACGCCGCGUGCAGGACGACGGCUCUACGAGUUGUAAACUGCUUUUGUACCGGGGUAAAAUGCCUUACGAGUAGGGUUUUGAAAGUACGGUACGAAUAAGGAUCGGCUAACUCCGUGCCAGCAGCCGCGGUAAUACGGAGGAUCCGAGCGUUAUCCGGAUUCAUUGGGUUUAAAGGGUGCGUAGGUUGUUUUAUAAGUUAGCGGUGAAAUACCGAUGCUCAACAUCGGGGCUGCCGCUAAUACUGUAGGACUAGAGAUCGGAUGCAGCAGGCGGAAUGUGUAGUGUAGCGGUGAAAUGCAUAGAUAUUACACAGAACACCGAUUGCGAAGGCAGCUUGCUAGGCCGGAUCUGACACUGAUGCACGAAAGCGUGGGGAUCGAACAGGAUUAGAUACCCGAGUAAG
This 469-nucleotide ribosomal RNA is filed under the name uncultured bacterium. RNAcentral describes it as "bacterial SSU rRNA". It matches the Rfam family "Bacterial small subunit ribosomal RNA", at positions 328 to 794 of the family's 1533-position model. The record is from RNAcentral.